CCUACGGGAGGCAGCAGUGAGGAAUAUUGGUCAAUGGGCGCAGGCCUGAACCAGCAAAGUCGCGUGAGGGAAGACUGCCCUAUGGGUUGUAAACCUCUUUUAUAAGGGAAGAAUAAUGACUACGUGUAGUCAGAUGCCCGUACCUUAUGAAUACGCAUCGGCUAACACCUUGACAGCAGCCGCGGUAACACGGAGGAUGCGAGCGUUAUCGGGAUUUAUUGGGGUUAACGGGUGCGUAGGGGGUAUGUUAAGUUGGUGGUAAAACGUCGGGGCUAAACCUUGAUUGGCCAUUAAAACUGGAGUACUAGAGUACAGACGAGGUAGGCGGAAUAAGUUAAGUAGCGGUGAAAUGCUUAGAUAUAACGUAGAACACUGAUAGCGAAGGCAGCUUACCAGAAUGUUACUGACGCUGAAGCACGAGAGCGUGGGUAGCGAACAGGAUUAGAUACCCCAGUAGUC
Molecule: ribosomal RNA, 459 nt
Filed under: uncultured bacterium
Lineage: Bacteria
Description: partial 16S ribosomal RNA
Rfam family: Bacterial small subunit ribosomal RNA
Source: RNAcentral